GAUGAACGCUGGCGGCGUGCCUAAUACAUGCAAGUCGAGCGGACAGACGAGGAGCUUUCUCCUCUGACGUUAGCGGCGGACGGGUGAGUAACACGUGGAUAACCUACCUAUAAGACUGGGAUAACUUCGGGAAACCGGAUCUAAUACCGGAUAACAUGUUGAACCGCAUGGUUUAACAGUGAAAGACGGUCUUGCUGUCACUUAUAGAUGGAUCCGCGCCGCAUUAGCUAGUUGGUAAGGUAACGGCUUACCAAUGCAACGAUGCGUAGCGGACCUGAGAGGGUGAUCGGCCAGACGGGAAGUGAGACAGGUCCCAGAGUCCGACGCGAGGCAGCAGUAGGGAAUCUUACGCAAGGGGGGAAUGCCUGACGGAGCAACGCCGCGUGAGUGAAGAAGGUCUUCGGAUCGGAAAACUCUGUUAGUAGGGAAGAACAAAUGUGUAAGUAACUAUGCACGUCUUGACGGUACCUAAUCAGAAAGCCACGGCUAACUACGUG
Molecule: ribosomal RNA, 497 nt
Filed under: uncultured bacterium
Lineage: Bacteria
Description: partial 16S ribosomal RNA
Rfam family: Bacterial small subunit ribosomal RNA
Source: RNAcentral